RNAcentral lists this ribosomal RNA (433 nucleotides) under uncultured bacterium. RNAcentral describes it as "partial 16S ribosomal RNA". It matches the Rfam family "Bacterial small subunit ribosomal RNA", at positions 29 to 507 of the family's 1533-position model. The record is from RNAcentral.
AGCGAACGCUGGCGGCAGGCCUAACACAUGCAAGUCGAACGAACUCUUCGGAGUUAGUGGCGGACGGGUGAGUAACACGUGGGAACGUGCCUUUUGGUUCGGAAUAACUCAGGGAAACUUGUGCUAAUACCGAAUGUGCCCUUCGGGGGAAAGAUUUAUCGCCAUUAGAGCGGCCCGCGUCUGAUUAGCUAGUUGGUGAGGUAACGGCUCACCAAGGCGACGAUCAGUAGCUGGUCUGAGAGGAUGACCAGCCACACUGGGACUGAGACACGGCCCAGACUCCUAAGGGAGGGAGCAGUGGGGAAUCUUGCGCAAUGGGCGAAAGCCUGACGCAGCCAUGCCGCGUGAAUGAUGAAGGUCUUAGGAUUGUAAAAUUCUUUCAACGGGGACGAUAAUGACGGUACCCGGAGAAGAAGCCCCGGCUAACUUCGUG